UUGUCAAGCCCAGUAGACAGCAGCAACCCCGAUGUCUUCACGUCGUGCGCUCCACCCCGAUUUGCGCAGCCCCUGCGCGACGUCGUCCACCCGCUAGAUGUUGACGCUGUGCCACGCGCACCAAGCGUUCGACGAAAUGCCCAACCAACGGACAGCACGCGGGUCUCGAACCCGAUUCGGCUAGGGAAGGAGAAGAAAGCGAAGUAG
This 207-nucleotide unclassified non-coding RNA is filed under the name Zea mays. RNAcentral describes it as "misc RNA Zm00001eb263080". Lineage: Eukaryota; Viridiplantae; Streptophyta; Magnoliopsida; Poales; Poaceae. The record is from RNAcentral.